Molecule: ribosomal RNA, 253 nt
Filed under: uncultured bacterium
Lineage: Bacteria
Description: partial 16S ribosomal RNA
Rfam family: Bacterial small subunit ribosomal RNA
Source: RNAcentral
UACGUAGGGUGCGAGCGUUAAUCGGAAUUACUGGGCGUAAAGCGUGCGCAGGCGGUUCGUUGUGUCGGCGGUGAAAGCCCCGGGCUUAACCUGGGAAUGGCCGUCGAAACUGGCGAACUGGAGUGUGGCAGAGGGGGGUGGAAUUCCGCGUGUAGCAGUGAAAUGCGUAGAGAUCGGGAGGAACACCUGUGGCGAAGGCGGCCCCCUGGGCCGGCCCUGACACUGAGACGCGAAGGCGUGGGGAGCGAACGGG